RNAcentral lists this ribosomal RNA (255 nucleotides) under uncultured bacterium. RNAcentral describes it as "partial 16S ribosomal RNA". It matches the Rfam family "Bacterial small subunit ribosomal RNA", at positions 524 to 776 of the family's 1533-position model. The record is from RNAcentral.
UACGGAGGGUGCUAACGUUGUCCGGAAUUACUGGGCGUAAAGAGCAUGUAGGUGGCUUUAUAAGUGAGCGAUUAAAUACCGAUGCUUAACAUCGGAAGGGUUGCUCAUACUGUAUGGCUUGAGAGUGGCAGGGGCAAGCGGAACUUUAGGUGUAGGGGUGAAAUCCGUAGAUAUCUAAAGGAACACCAAAUGGCGAAGGCAGCUUGCUGGGCCUCUUCUGGACACUGAGAUGCGAAAGCGUGGGGAGCGAACGGG